RNAcentral lists this unclassified non-coding RNA (375 nucleotides) under Hevea brasiliensis (rubber tree). Lineage: Eukaryota; Viridiplantae; Streptophyta; Magnoliopsida; Malpighiales; Euphorbiaceae. The record is from RNAcentral.
GUGCAAUACGAAGCUGAUUUUCGGCCAAAUAUGAGCAUUGUGGUAAAAGCUCUACAACCUCUUUUGCACGCUCGACCUGCACCUAGUGAAACAUCAAACUUGUGAUUCUCUCCUUUGCCGCAGCCGCUACCAAAUGGAAUGACAGUGAUUGAGAUUUGUUUUGUUGAGUUGAAAAUGAUAUUAUACUAGUAGUUAUCUGGGUAAAUAGCAGACAUAAUGUGCUUUCCCCCCUUCUUUUACUGGUCUCAAUUGAAUGUGAAUAAAUUUAUACAUGUACUAAUGAAAGUAGCCUUUGCCUAUUCUUUUAAUGGAUAUUAUUCUUGAGGUCUUGAAUAUCCUUGUAUCAGUUAAGUGGAGAUGAUCACUAUGAUAAAA